ACGAGUGGCGGACGGGUGAGUAAUGUCUGGGAAACUGCCUGAUGGAGGGGGAUAACUACUGGAAACGGUAGCUAAUACCGCAUAACGUCGCAAGACCAAAGAGGGGGACCUUCGGGCCUCUUGCCAUCGGAUGUGCCCAGAUGGGAUUAGCUUGUUGGUGGGGUAACGGCUCACCAAGGCGACGAUCCCUAGCUGGUCUGAGAGGAUGACCAGCCACACUGGAACUGAGACACGGUCCAGACUCCUACGGGAGGCAGCAGUGGGGAAUAUUGCACAAUGGGCGCAAGCCUGAUGCAGCCAUGCCGCGUGUAUGAAGAAGGCCUUCGGGUUGUAAAGUACUUUCAGCGGGGAGGAA
Molecule: ribosomal RNA, 355 nt
Filed under: Escherichia coli
Lineage: Bacteria; Pseudomonadati; Pseudomonadota; Gammaproteobacteria; Enterobacterales; Enterobacteriaceae
Description: bacterial SSU rRNA
Rfam family: Bacterial small subunit ribosomal RNA
Source: RNAcentral